CAGUAGCCACGGGAAUACGGAGGGUGCAAGCGUUAAUCGGAAUUACUGGGCGUAAAGCGCACGCAGGCGGUCUGACAAGUCAGAUGUGAAAUCCCCGGGCUUAACCUGGGAACUGCAUUUGAAACUGUCAGGCUGGAGUCUUGUAGAGGGGGGUGGAAUUCCAGGUGUAGCGGUGAAAUGCGUAGAGAUCUGGAGGAAUACCGGUGGCGAAGGCGGCCCCCUGGACAAAGACUGACGCUCAGGUGCGAAAGCGUGGGGAGCAAACAGGAUUAGAGACCCCAGUAGUCCCUGUCUCUUAUAC
RNAcentral lists this ribosomal RNA (301 nucleotides) under uncultured bacterium. RNAcentral's name for it is "partial 16S ribosomal RNA". It matches the Rfam family "Bacterial small subunit ribosomal RNA", at positions 509 to 807 of the family's 1533-position model. The record is from RNAcentral.